This 373-nucleotide long non-coding RNA is filed under the name Neodiprion lecontei (redheaded pine sawfly). Its description in RNAcentral is "uncharacterized LOC124295103". The record is from RNAcentral. Lineage: Eukaryota; Metazoa; Arthropoda; Insecta; Hymenoptera; Diprionidae.
UGUAGGUGCCGCGUGGUUGCCGACUGCAACGCCUGCGUACGCACGCACCGCGAAGGCUCUCGACACCGUCGGCGCAACAAGUAGCAGAUUAUAAAAAUCACCCCGAGGGCUGCUGCUGCUGCUGCUGCUGUUGCUACCGCCGGCGGUGGCACGAGAGAGGGAAAAAAAUCCACGGGUGGAAUGAGGGGGAUGCUGCUGCGCGGGUGGAAACGAGACGAAGGGAUCGCCGAGAGGAGGGUGGAAGAGGAACGGAAUUACUGAUGUUGUCCUUUUCUUUCGCCAUAUUAGGAAUCACAUGUGGAACAAAUCAACUUCCGGUUGGUGGCCGUAAAUUGAAUCGAUAAUCAUGGUAAUGAUUCGGAUAUUGCACAGU